UGAAACUCGCCUACAUGAAGCUGGAGUUACUAGUAAUCGCAGAUCAGAAUGCUGCGGUGAAUGCGUUCCCGGGUCUUGUACACACCGCCCGUCACACCACGGGAGUUGGAGACGCCCGAAGCCGAUUAUCUAACCUUUUGGAAGAAGUCGUCGAAGGUGGAAUCAAUAACUGGGGUGAAGUCGUAACAAGGUAGCCGUAUCGGAAGGUGCGGCUGGAUCACCUCCUUUCUAAGGA
This 235-nucleotide ribosomal RNA is filed under the name Clostridioides difficile. Its description in RNAcentral is "partial 16S ribosomal RNA". It matches the Rfam family "Bacterial small subunit ribosomal RNA", at positions 1306 to 1533 of the family's 1533-position model. The record is from RNAcentral. Lineage: Bacteria; Bacillati; Bacillota; Clostridia; Peptostreptococcales; Peptostreptococcaceae.